UACAGAGGGUGCGAGCGUUAAUCGGAAUUACUGGGCGUAAAGCGUGCGCAGGCGGCUUUGCAAGUCAAAUGUGAAAUCCCCGGGCUUAACCUGGGAAUGGCGCUUGUGACUGCAGUGCUGGAGUGCGGCAGAGGGGGAUGGAAUUCCGCGUGUAGCAGUGAAAUGCGUAGAUAUGCGGAGGAACACCAAUGGCGAAGGCAAUCCCCUGGGCCUGUACUGACGCUCAUGCACGAAAGCGUGGGGAGCAAACAGG
RNAcentral lists this ribosomal RNA (253 nucleotides) under uncultured bacterium. Its description in RNAcentral is "partial 16S ribosomal RNA". It matches the Rfam family "Bacterial small subunit ribosomal RNA", at positions 524 to 776 of the family's 1533-position model. The record is from RNAcentral.